This 744-nucleotide ribosomal RNA is filed under the name uncultured Acidobacteriaceae bacterium. RNAcentral's name for it is "bacterial SSU rRNA". It matches the Rfam family "Bacterial small subunit ribosomal RNA", at positions 65 to 790 of the family's 1533-position model. Lineage: Bacteria; Pseudomonadati; Acidobacteriota; Terriglobia; Terriglobales; Acidobacteriaceae. The record is from RNAcentral.
AGCGCGAAAGUGGGCUUCGGCCCACGAGUAGAGCGGCGAACGGGUGAGUAACGCGUGGGUGAUCUGCCUUCGAGUGGGGAAUAACACCGGGAAACUGGUGCUAAUACCGCAUAACAUCCUCGGUUCGUUCCGAGGAUCAAAGCUGGGGACCGUAAGGCCUGGCGCUUGAAGAGGAGCCCGCGUCCGAUUAGCUUGUUGGCGGGGUAAUGGCCCACCAAGGCUUCUAUCGGUAGCCGGCCUGAGAGGGCGGACGGCCACACUGGGACUGAGACACGGCCCAGACUCCUACGGGAGGCAGCAGUGGGGAAUUUUCCGCAAUGGGGGAAACCCUGACGGAGCAACGCCGCGUGGAGGAUGUAGGCCCUCGGGUCGUAAACUCCUGUCGAUCGGGAAGAAUGCGUCCGACCUAAUACGUCGGCACGUUGACUGUACCGGUGGAGGAAGCCACGGCUAACUCUGUGCCAGCAGCCGCGGUAAGACAGAGGUGGCAAGCGUUGUUCGGAAUUACUGGGCGUAAAGCGCGCGCAGGCGGUUCGUCAAGUCCCGUGUGAAAUCCCCCGGCUCAACUGGGGAACUGCGCGGGAAACUAGCGGGCUUGAGUUCGGGAGAGGGAAGCGGAAUUCCGGGUGUAGCGGUGAAAUGCGUAGAUAUCCGGAGGAACACCAGUGGCGAAGGCGGCUUCCUGGACCGACACUGACGCUGAGGCGCGUAAGCUAGGGGAGAGAACGGGAUUAGAUACCCCGG